UAAAUUUUCCUUGUUUUUAUCAAUCCACCCAAACCAAACCCAGAAGACUCUUGACUCUUGGUCUCCCUCUCUCUCAGGGACGACUCACCAUCACUUUAGCCCCCAUCGCUCACCGUUGAUCUUCCACCAUCGUUCACCGUCGAUCUUCCACCGUCACACACUGCCACCGCCGUUGCUCGCCUCGCAGCUCCUCGCAUUGCAUUGCUUCGACAUUGAGGAUCGGGACAGUUAUUGGAAGAUGAUGCAGAAAUAUAUAGGUUUGAUGUCACAUCAAUGGUGACACUCCCAGUUAUCAUUUUUGAGCCAAUGUCAAUGCUUCAAAAAAUGGCAGAGAUGAAUGUGAGGAUCUCUACAUGUGAUUGGUUUAUGCUUCAUCCUUCUUUAUAACAAUCUAUUAUGCCUGCCAACGAACCUGAAGUCAUUUAAUCCAAUUCUUGGUGAAACUUAUGAAAUGGUCAAUCAUGGAGGUGUUAAAUUCAUUGCAGAAUAGAUGGCUUGGUUUCGUGGACUUGUGGAUAAUCCAUAUUGGUGUACAGAGAAGAAUUUUCACUUUUGUGUAGAACUAAUAUAAUACUUUUGUCGUUCUCAGUUUUUGUGUAGUUCAUUAUUACUGAUACAAAAAACUUUUGGCAAUCAACAGAUAAUGACUGUUGUGGUACAUAGAUUACCUUCUAUCGUGGUACAUAUAUACCAUUUGUUGGCGUACAUAUAGGACGUUUUGUCAUGGUCCAUAGAAAAUUUUUGUCGUGGUACAUAUAUCACCUUUUGUUGUGGUACAGAUUACGAUGGUAAUUUGUACCAUGCCAAAUGGUAAUUUCGCUUGGA
Molecule: non-coding RNA, 825 nt
Organism: Camellia sinensis
Lineage: Eukaryota; Viridiplantae; Streptophyta; Magnoliopsida; Ericales; Theaceae
Source: RefSeq, a predicted model, not a curated record